UCAUAUUUGGUUAUAAGAAUAGGUUUUAUAGGAAAAUAUUAAUGAAAAGUUGUGCUCAUGAAAUUUGUCCGCUUAUGGAUCAUGUCUAUGGACUAUAUCGUCGCAUUUCCGCGAAAGUAUCGUAUGUUACUUUUUAUCGAAAUUGAGAUUUUAAUGCCAAAUUGUUAGAAAACUUAUGUCUCACUAUCCUGCAAAAUAAUAUAACUGAAAACGCUAUAGUUCCAAUAAAAACUAAGUUUCAAUUUUAUCGUAUGUAACUGUGAAUUUUUCUGUUCGCGCAAAAUUAUCGUAAGUCCAUACACAUUUUUUUUGCAUGUGGAACGAAUUACUGCAAACGCACAAAAAUAUAGAGAGAUAACAACAUUUUCAUAUCUUCAUUAUGUGCUCUUUCCAUUUUGCCGUUAAUUCCUCUUUACGCCGUUAAUUCUUGGUGUACGUUUUGAUAUUCAUUGAUCUAUCUGGUGAUAAGUGAAGCUGUGAAAGCCCAAAUUAGUCUUCAUUUAGUUUCAAACACAUCAAUAGUGAACAAAAUAUAAACAAUUGUGAUCAACAAAUGAUUUAUUUGUUAUGGAAUUUACCCAUGGAAAACUAGCUCAUGAAGUGUUUUUAGAUAGAUGUGAAGUCUUGUGAAAUCACCAGUCCCAUAUAGUGAUAGCGAUAACGAUGAUGAAGAGUGCUGCGUUGGAAAACGUGGACUUAAGCGCAAACCAGUGAGAAAGGAAAAGAAGAAAAAUGACAAUAGAGUACUUCCUAACCCGUGUAUAAAUACCAAAUGUAAGAAGGAUUGUCGAAGUGUGCCAGACAUUUCCCGGCAAAAUAUUAACGAACAUUACUGGGGUAUGUCAAACACAAGACGGCUAACAUGGCUUCAUGCAAAUAUCAAACAAAAGCAAAUUAAAAAAAAGGCGAGCUGGGCAGGAAGCAAAGCGUGUGCAAAGGCGAAACUGGACGUUUGAAUAUUCCCUAUUGUGGGAUGGAAAAAUAUUUAAAGUUUGCCAGAAUUUUUUUUGAAAACUUUAAAUAUUUCUCAAAUGGUUUUGAGACAUGCAUUAAAGAAAACUAUUAGUUUUGAAAGCCGA
Bactrocera neohumeralis is the source of this 1079-nucleotide long non-coding RNA. RefSeq lists it as uncharacterized. The transcript has 3 exons. The record is from RefSeq and is a predicted model, not a curated record. Lineage: Eukaryota; Metazoa; Arthropoda; Insecta; Diptera; Tephritidae.